RNAcentral lists this ribosomal RNA (459 nucleotides) under Salmonella enterica. RNAcentral describes it as "bacterial SSU rRNA". It matches the Rfam family "Bacterial small subunit ribosomal RNA", at positions 1 to 456 of the family's 1533-position model. Lineage: Bacteria; Pseudomonadati; Pseudomonadota; Gammaproteobacteria; Enterobacterales; Enterobacteriaceae. The record is from RNAcentral. RNAcentral also lists the same sequence under 1 other name.
AAAUUGAAGAGUUUGAUCAUGGCUCAGAUUGAACGCUGGCGGCAGGCCUAACACAUGCAAGUCGAACGGUAACAGGAAGCAGCUUGCUGCUUCGCUGACGAGUGGCGGACGGGUGAGUAAUGUCUGGGAAACUGCCUGAUGGAGGGGGAUAACUACUGGAAACGGUGGCUAAUACCGCAUAACGUCGCAAGACCAAAGAGGGGGACCUUCGGGCCUCUUGCCAUCAGAUGUGCCCAGAUGGGAUUAGCUUGUUGGUGAGGUAACGGCUCACCAAGGCGACGAUCCCUGGCUGGUCUGAGAGGAUGACCAGCCACACUGGAACUGAGACACGGUCCAGACUCCUACGGGAGGCAGCAGUGGGGAAUAUUGCACAAUGGGCGCAAGCCUGAUGCAGCCAUGCCGCGUGUAUGAAGAAGGCCUUCGGGUUGUAAAGUACUUUCAGCGGGGAGGAAGGUGUUG